GAUGUCUUUCAUUUCGUGUACAAAACUCUGCACGCUGCGGCAUCGAAGAAGUUGUCCUGUGUUUGGGUGCACGUAUGCGCUUGGACACGGAUAGCCUGCUUGCUCUCAACGGGUGUUCAACAGUCUACGCGCGCUCGUAACUUGCUCAUGAGGCAAGUUGCUGUUGUGCUGGAGCUGAGAAGAGGUCUGCUGCCUGCAAUGGGUCCAUCUCUCUCAAGUUAUUGCAGUAUUGUAGCUCUCAAGGUUCAAAAAAGUAUGGUGGAAGCUGUUGCCAAGGUUCCGACCAGAAAAGACAGCCAGUAUAAAAGGGUACACGCCACUGAUCUCUACUACAGGGGAUGAACAGCACAUCGAGCGCCCUCGACUGAAGCUGGCCUUGUCCCGGAAGUUGGUGCUUCACAACUUUGCGGCAGCACUUUGUUGCACGGCCUGUGGAGACAAGGUUUCUUAGACAUGGCCAUGGCCCUCAAGGAAGAUGCCGAGGCCACAGGCAGUUCCUCCAGUGACCGUGAAAAGGUCCCCUGGGGCACAAGUCUGGUUUGGCACCCCCACCUUUCUCCUGCAGCUUUUCUGUCUACUUAGCUAACCAGGUGGGUCAAUGAUGGCAAAGGGAAAAAAGAAUCAACAGCAUCAAACGCAGAACUUGCUCAAGCUCAAUGCAUUUUUGGUGUGAAGUGUUUCCCUUAUCAUUUAUCAAAAAACGGGUAAUAAGUAUAUGAUAUGGUCUUCAUAU
This is a non-coding RNA of Dermacentor albipictus, 733 nucleotides long. NCBI's taxonomy places the organism in Eukaryota, Metazoa, Arthropoda, Arachnida, Ixodida, Ixodidae. The record is from RefSeq and is a predicted model, not a curated record.